This is a long non-coding RNA of Solanum stenotomum, 1059 nucleotides long. RefSeq lists it as uncharacterized. The transcript has 4 exons. The record is from RefSeq and is a predicted model, not a curated record. NCBI's taxonomy places the organism in Eukaryota, Viridiplantae, Streptophyta, Magnoliopsida, Solanales, Solanaceae.
AACAUGUAAAACUUCAAUUCUUUGUUAGGGAAUUUUCACAAAUUUAUAGUGAGAGCUCUCAACAAAGUUCAUAUGUGGAGUGGAAUAGAAAAUUCAUUAGUUGGUUACAAAAAAAGGUUGUAGGAUUAUACAAACAUGGUGAUAGUAAGAGAAUGGAAGAUUUGCUAUCUUUAUCACGUGGCCCUAUGCCAUAUGUCACAAGAUUCAAAGGCUAUAUUGUUAAUGGAUAUAAGUUUCAUGUGAAAGAGUAUGAUCAAUAUUUGAAAACUCAAAAUUGUGGAGUGGUUGUAGUAGGUGAGACCGGUGAAGAACAAAACCAUAUGAAUUACUAUGGCGAGUUAACCGAGGUUCUUGAAUUACAAUUUGUUGGGGGAAGAAGAGUGAUUUUAUUCCGAUGUAUGUGGUUUGAUGUGUAUGAUCAAAAGAGGGGAGUUAAAAUGGAUGAAUAUGGCUUUGUAAGUGCUAACCGUCGGCGAUAUUUGAAAAUAAAUGAGCAAUUUGUAUUAGCUAGCCAAGCAUCACAAGUAUUUUAUGCUAUCGAUCAUUCCAAUAAAGGUUGGCACAUAGUGCGAAAGGUUCAACCUCGUGAUGCUUUUGAUAAUUUGGAAAAAAAAUAUGAUGACUUAGAAGAGUUAGAUAACUCUACACAAGUGAAAAGAAAAAGAACUCAUUGAGGUUGACAUGAAUCCCUCAAAAACUCUGAAGUAUGAAAUGGGACAAACUUCUAAAAUUCCCAAGCAUGAACUCAUUCAGCCAGGUGCCUUAGUAAAAGGACUAGGUCAAAGAAGACAAUGCUCCCCUCCAUCAAGAAGCUGGAAUGAAUCAAUACACUUUGACCAGUGAUGCAAGGGGUCAGGAACAAAGCUUAAGGAUUAAUGCUGAAAAAAGGACUAUGAUUGGCGAAAAUAGAAAUACUACAACAACUUCUAGUCGAAAUAAGUCAGCAAAGAAAAGUAUCCCUGUGCCUCCUGAUUUUAAUCCAAUGGAGGACAAUGACACCCUCUUUCUAGAAGCGGAAGUGACUUGAGAUACUCAAAGAAGUGAUCAUUUGCAAAAGAG